UAUGUUAGUAUCUCUUCCAUUUCUUCAACUGAGUUUCUGUUCAGAGUGGCUUCAUAUGUAUGUUACAUAUCGACUUCUCCAUCUCCUGCCAUGGAAACUGAUGGCUUCCGGAUAGAUCAGAAUAGACUUUGGGGAGGUUGGUGUAGUGUGUGACGGGAAGAAACGAGGUGAAGCUUCUCCCAAUCGUCUGGCGGUGAGGAGGACGCGAGUUGGAGGUGGAUUGAGCUCGAUGGCCAAGAGGGGCCGUCAACUGAUUGGGGAGUUUGGUGCAGCGUGUGAUGGCAGGAAACGAGGGCUCUAUGUAAAUCCGGAAUGAUGUUUGGUACAGGCCGGGCAAUGGAGAAUCAUUGUUAAAGGUGAUAUUGCAGGCAUCAUCAUGGCCACAUCAAAGGUCCUAAGCUCAAGGUCCACAACUACUGCCUUCCCCAAGAAGGCCAUCUUUGAGGCUACAUCAGCAAGGUCACCGUCUACAGAGGACUCAUUUUUUGCCUCACAAUUACAUUUCUAC
This is a long non-coding RNA of Lolium rigidum, 508 nucleotides long. RefSeq lists it as uncharacterized. NCBI's taxonomy places the organism in Eukaryota, Viridiplantae, Streptophyta, Magnoliopsida, Poales, Poaceae. The record is from RefSeq and is a predicted model, not a curated record. The transcript has 5 exons.